UACGAAGGGGGCUAGCGUUGUUCGGAAUUACUGGGCGUAAAGGGCUCGUAGGCGGCCAACUAAGUCGAACGUGAAAUCCCCGGGCUCAACCCGGGAACUGCGUCCGAUACUGGAAGGCUUGAAUCCGGGAGAGGGAUGCGGAAUUCCAGGUGUAGCGGUGAAAUGCGUAGAUAUCUGGAGGAACACCGGUGGCGAAGGCGGCAUCCUGGACCGGCAUUGACGCUGAGGCGCGAAAGCCAGGGGAGCAAACAGG
Molecule: ribosomal RNA, 253 nt
Filed under: uncultured bacterium
Lineage: Bacteria
Description: partial 16S ribosomal RNA
Rfam family: Bacterial small subunit ribosomal RNA
Source: RNAcentral